GAUGAACGCUAGCUACAGGCUUAACACAUGCAAGUCGAGGGGUAACGAGAGGAAAGCUUGCUUUCCUUGUUGACGACCGGCGCACGGGUGAGUAACGCGUAUCCAACCUGCCCCCAACUAGGGAAUAACCUUGCGAAAGUAGGACUAAUACCCUAUAAUUUCCUCAGAUGUCAUCUGACGAGGAAUAAAGAUUUAUCGGUUGGGGAUGGGGAUGCGUCUGAUUAGCUUGUUGGCGGGGUAACGGCCCACCAAGGCAACGAUCAGUAGGGGUUCUGAGAGGAAGGUCCCCCACAUUGGAACUGAGACACGGUCCAAACUCCUACGGGAGGCAGCAGUGAGGAAUAUUGGUCAAUGGGCGGAAGCCUGAACCAGCCAAGUAGCGUGCAGGAUGACGGCCCUAUGGGUUGUAAACUGCUUUUAUACAGGAAUAAAGUUAGCCACGUGUGGUUAUUUGUAGGUACUGUAUGAAUAAGGACCGGCUAAUUCCGUGCCAGCCGCCGCCGUAA
Molecule: ribosomal RNA, 506 nt
Filed under: uncultured bacterium
Lineage: Bacteria
Description: partial 16S ribosomal RNA
Rfam family: Bacterial small subunit ribosomal RNA
Source: RNAcentral